GGAGGGGUGCCUGAGUGGUUGAAAGGGCCGGUCUCGAAAACCGGAAUAGGUGCAAGCCUAUCGUGGGUUCGAAUCCCACCUCCUCCG
RNAcentral lists this transfer RNA (87 nucleotides) under Singulisphaera acidiphila DSM 18658. Its description in RNAcentral is "tRNA-Ser (CGA) (tRNA-Ser-CGA-1-1)". It matches the Rfam family "tRNA". From Rfam's summary of the family: Transfer RNA (tRNA) molecules are approximately 80 nucleotides in length. Their secondary structure includes four short double-helical elements and three loops (D, anti-codon, and T loops). The record is from Rfam by way of RNAcentral. RNAcentral also lists the same sequence under 3 other names. Lineage: Bacteria; Pseudomonadati; Planctomycetota; Planctomycetia; Isosphaerales; Isosphaeraceae.